This 334-nucleotide ribosomal RNA is filed under the name uncultured eukaryote. Its description in RNAcentral is "partial 18S ribosomal RNA". It matches the Rfam family "Eukaryotic small subunit ribosomal RNA", at positions 1470 to 1796 of the family's 1831-position model. The record is from RNAcentral.
CCCUUAGAUGUCCGGGGCCGCACGCGCGCUACACUGAAGGAAUCAGCGUGGCUUUCUCCCUGACCCGAAAGGGUUGGGAAACCCGUUGAAUCUACUUCGUGAUAGGGAUUGGGGCUUGAAAUUGUUCCCCAUGAACGAGGAAUUCCCAGUAAGCGCGAGUCAUAAGCUCGCGUUGAUUACGUCCCUGCCCUUUGUACACACCGCCCGUCGCUACUACCGAUUGAACGGUUUAGUGAGGGCCUCGGAUUGGUCUCGGCCCGCUCUUUACCGGGCGGCGCCGUUGGUCGAGAAGACGCUCGAACUUGAUCGUUUAGAGGAAGUAAAAGUCGUAACA